UGGGGAAUUUUGGACAAUGGGGGCAACCCUGAUCCAGCAAUGCCGCGUGAGUGAAGAAGGCCUUCGGGUUGUAAAGCUCUUUUGUCAGGGAAGAAACGGUAGUAGCGAAUAACUAUUACUAAUGACGGUACCUGAAGAAUAAGCACCGGCUAACUACGUGCCAGCAGCCGCGGUAAUACGUAGGGUGCAAGCGUUAAUCGGAAUUACUGGGCGUAAAGCGUGCGCAGGCGGUUGUGUAAGUCAGAUGUGAAAUCCCCGGGCUCAACCUGGGAAUUGCAUUUGAGACUGCACGGCUAGAGUGUGUCAGAGGGGGGUAGAAUUCCACGUGUAGCAGUGAAAUGCGUAGAUAUGUGGAGGAAUACCGAUGGCGAAGGCAGCCCCCUGGGGAUAACACUGACGCUCAUGCACGAAAGCGUGGGGAGCAAACAGGAUUAGAUACCCGCGUAGUCCCUGAGCGGGCUGGCAAGGCGCAU
RNAcentral lists this ribosomal RNA (473 nucleotides) under uncultured bacterium. RNAcentral describes it as "bacterial SSU rRNA". It matches the Rfam family "Bacterial small subunit ribosomal RNA", at positions 355 to 825 of the family's 1533-position model. The record is from RNAcentral.